CACCUACGGGGCGCAGCAGUGAGGGAUAUUGGUCAAUGGGGGAAACCCUGAACCAGCAACGCCGCGUGAGGGAAGAAGGUUUUCGGAUUGUAAACCUCUGUGGAGGGGGACGAUAAUGACGGUACCCCUUUAGGAAGCCACGGCUAACUACGUGCCAGCAGCCGCGGUAAUACGUAGGUGGCGAGCGUUGUCCGGAAUUACUGGGUGUAAAGGGAGUGUAGGCGGGAAAGCAAGUCAGAAGUGAAAACUAUGGGCUUAACCCAUAGCCUGCUUUUGAAACUGUUUUUCUUGAGUGAAGUAGAGGG
RNAcentral lists this ribosomal RNA (305 nucleotides) under uncultured bacterium. RNAcentral describes it as "bacterial SSU rRNA". It matches the Rfam family "Bacterial small subunit ribosomal RNA", at positions 335 to 658 of the family's 1533-position model. The record is from RNAcentral.